Juglans regia (Persian walnut) is the source of this 4106-nucleotide long non-coding RNA. RefSeq lists it as uncharacterized. NCBI's taxonomy places the organism in Eukaryota, Viridiplantae, Streptophyta, Magnoliopsida, Fagales, Juglandaceae. The transcript is spliced from 2 exons. The record is from RefSeq and is a predicted model, not a curated record.
CACAGUAAUUAAGACAGGAAGUCCAUUUUAAUUAACCUGUCUUUUCUGCUUUCCUUUGUGAUUUUUUUCCUUUUAACAUACUGAAACAGUUGGCCAGUUUUUUCUGUUCUGCAAAGCCGAAUGAAAGAAAAAAAAAUAGAUAAAUAAUAAUUCCCACCUAAUUAUCUAGCUGUUUUUCCACUAGCCCAAGCAUUGUUUAGUAUUUCCAGUAAGUUCAGGUGAUUUUUCCAUUUCUAAAGCCGGAAUAAAGAUAAAUAAUAAUUCCCACCAUGAAAAAUGGAACCUAAGCCGCACUACUAGAAAUAUCACUUAGCCAAUUGUAUUGUCUAGGCAAAAUAAAUAGAAAAGAAGCACCUUGAUUAUAUUUAUAUAUAUAUUAGUGGAAAGGUUUGUCUUAGAUCCAUGUCAUUUUUUUAAUGGGAGCUUUUAUAAGAUUAGUGAAAUUUGUAUGCAAAUACUUGAAACGGAUUUGUACUAUGUCUCUAGAAUAUAAACUGAUCUUCUACAUUUUUAUCAUAAAUUUGUUAAUUUUAGUGAGAAAUUAAGAUUGUUCAAUUCUAGGGAUGUCAAAUCGUAUUAACGAGUCGUGUUCGUGUCGUGUUAAGACAUAUAUAUUAUACUAUGUCUAUCAUCUGCUCUCUCUCUCUCUCUCUGUGCUCUGCGUCUGCGAUACCUUAGCCCUUCUCGAAAUCACUCUCUCAUCUGCUCUAUCUCUCUCUCUGCUAUCUCUGAUGCCAAACGGUGGAAGUGCUUGAGCUUGAGAUCCAAGAGGUUAGAAUGUAUUUCCGUUUGGGAUCAGAGAGUUGCACACAAAAUCAUGGGUAGAAAUGCUCUCCCAACUCGUAUUAAGGCUAUUGGCAAAAAGCUAGCGGGCUUGACUCCAAUUAAUGCUCAAGAGCAUUAUAUAUUUAAAGUGCAUAAGCAGUAAUUCAAGGUAAUUGAGAAGGCUUACAAACCUGUGCUGCUUGCGAUCUGUCCUUGCAACAACCAUGGCAAAGUUGGCUAGGGACUUAUGGAAGAGCAUAAACUAUGAUAUCUGAAGCAAAUGCUUCAAAGGAGAAGUGAAAGCAGUGUGAUGCUACUUGAUGGGUGUUUCAUCAUUGAGCUUUUUCAAAAGUGUUGGAAUAGCAAUCUAAGGGAGAAGCAUGAUCCAAUCUUCCAAAUGAGGUGGAUGCGUAGCGAAAUAGCUCGCAAUCUACUGUUAUUUGAAAAUCAACUUCAAUGCUUUGUUCUUGCUAAAUUGUUCGAGAUGAGUGCCAAUGACCAGACACCACUUCCUAGCCUAUCCAUACAUUCUGGAGAACACAUCAUCGAUAUUGCUAUUUUUUUUUUCAUUGACUCAAUAUUUCAAGGUUGGGAUUUCAUUGGUACUUGUUCAACUGAAAUGAUUAAACAUCUACUUUGUCAGACGCAUACAACUAUUACUCCUCCACUCGCAAAAAUGGUACAUGAACAUCUAAAGUUUGGAGACAAAUUCAAGAACGCAGAUUUUAAGCAUAUACUUUAUUUGAUACAUACAAUAAUCAGGCUUUCAAUACUUGAUAUGGAACUACAACAUGCCACAGAAAGUCAAGAGGUUGGAGUCAAAUUCAAGAAGGGAGAGAUAUUGAAGCAUUUGUUUGGCCUGAUACAAAAGUUUGGAUUCGAAUCCAAUAUGGCAGAAAAUUCUAAGCAUCUAAAUGAUAAUCUGAAUAUUUGAAUUGAACACUGCAACUCAAUACCAUAUGGAAUAGAGCUUCAAGAGGCUAGAGUCGAAUUCAAGAUGAUAGAGAAAUUUAGGGAUAAAUUUGAGUAGAAUGAGAACUGAAAGUCAAUACCGGAUGGUGUCAUUGCAUUUCAAAAGGCUGGAGUUGAAUUCGAGAAGGUAGUUAAAUUUAGAGAGCUAGUUUAUCAAGAAAGGCCGAAUGAAGACGACAAGUCAAAACUUUGUGGAGUGAAAUUCGAGAUGAUAGAGAAAUUUAUGUGCCUACCAUUUUUGAAUAAGAUUGAAAAUUGGAACUCAAUUUCUCACAGCACAGAGUUUAAAGAUGCCGGAGUUGAAUUCAAGAAGGCAAAAAAAUUUACGGAUACAAAAAAUAUGAUAAGGCCAAUACCUAAUGCAACAGAGCUUAAAGAGGGUGGAGUCAAAUUCAAGAAGACAGAGCAACAUACCAUCUUUAUCGAGUUUAGCAAUGGGGUAUUGGAAAUUUCGUCUUCGAGAAUAGAAUAUGAAAGUGAAACUUUUUUGCAAAAUCUAAUUGCAUUUGAGCAAUAUAGUCCACAUGAUGAUCCGAGUUACGUCACCGACUAUAUGUGCUUGAUGGAUGAUCUCAUUGACUCUCCAAAGGAUGUUGAAUUACUCCGUCGAAAAGGAAUUAUUGAAAAUUGGUUGGGUGGUGAUGAAGUUGCUUCCACCAUGGUCAACAAGCUUGGCCACCAUCUCACCAUUUCAACCUAGAACUCCAUUUAUGCUAAAACUUCCCUUGAUCUGAACAAGCACUGUGCCAAACGCUGGAAUGAAUGGAAGACAAGUUUGAGACACAAUUAUGUCCAAAGUCUGUGGGCUUUGCUUUCAAUUUUGGCGGCUAUCUCAUUGCUCGUACUUGCAGUUAUACAGACCGUGUUUUCCAUUAUUAAUUAGGUUAUUCAUAUACCUUUCUUCUUCUCAUGUUUUGUGAUUUUUUUGUUUUUGCUCUUGUAUCAAUACUAAAUAAGUUAGACAACAUUUUUUCUGCUUUCUUUUAGUCCAAAAUUAGAGGUAAUUAACAACAUGGAAUGACAUUAUCUCUACCUUUCAAAUGGUUAAGUAUAUAUUCAUCUUUUUUCAGGCUAAAAGUUGAACAUUUGAGAACUCAGUUAUAGAAGUAUUUUGAAAAGUUCUCAAAAUGAAAUGAAAUAUGGAUUUUACAGUUUCAAUAAUUAUCUUUGGCAUUACCUGGUGAUGUAACUCGGAUCAUAGUGUGGACUAUAUUGCACAAAUGCAAAAAAAGUUUCGCUUUCAUCUUCUAUUCUCAAAGGUGAAAUUUUCAAGACCCCAUUGCUAAACUUGGUAAAAAGGGUACGUUGCUCUGCCUUCUUGAAUUUGACUCCACAUUCUUUAAGCUCUGUUGCAUUAGGUAUUGGCCUUAUCAUAUUUUUUGUAUCUGUAAAUUUUUUUGCCUUCUUGAAUUUGACUCCAGCAUCUAUAAACUUUGUGCCAAGAUGAAUUGACUCUAGCUCUCUAAAUUUUAUUGCAUUCUCGAAUUCGCCUCUUGAAAUGCAAUGACAUCGUCAGGUAUUGACUUCCAGUUCUCAUUCUCCUCGAAUAUAUCCCUAAAUUUCUCUGCUAUCUUGAAUUCGACUCCAGCCUCUUGAAGCUCUAUUCCAUAUGGUAUUGAGUUGCAGCGUUCAAUCCAAAUAUUCAGAUCAUCAUUUGGAUGCUUAGAAUUCUCUGCUAUAUUGGAUUCGAAUCCAAACUUUUGUAUCAGGCCAAACAAAUGCUUCAAUAUCUCUCCCUUCUUGAAUUUGACUCCAACCUCUUGACUUUCUGUGGCAUGAUGUAGUUCCAUGUCAAGUAUUGAAAGCCUGAAUAUUGUAUGUAUCAAAUCAAGUGGAUGCUUAAAAUCUGCGUUCUUGAAUUUGUCUCCAAACUUUAGAUGUUCAUGUACCAUUUUUGUGAGUGGAGGAGUAAUAGCUGUAUGCGUCUGACAAAGUAGAUGUUUAAUCAUUUUGGUUGAAUAAGUACCACUGAAAUCCCAAUCUUGAAAUACUGAGUCAAUGAAAAAAGAAAUGGCAAUUUCGAUGAUGUGUUCUCUAGAUCACUGUCGAUGAAGCAACUUUUGCGUUCAACCGUAAGUUGGGAAGGAAAGAGAUCCUUGAUGCUUUCAUGGGUCCUGUCUCGAGCCUGCUGCUUCUGAGCCUAGUGAUUCUGCUCCCAAAGUUCCUGAGGUUGGCGCUCUUGGUGUCAAGGUCUAAUAGCUCCACGCUCUAGCUUCUUGGUGUCGCUGCUGCUAUUUUAUUUUGCUCUUCUCUUUCUUCUCUCUUUGGUAAAUGUAUAUACCUAUGCAUCGUCGCCCUGUGGCUUGUAUGUAACUUUAAUUAUUGAAAUUGUUUCACAUUUUUUUAUUGUGUCGGGCUGCUUGUCUUUA